UAGUUGGAAGAUGACGAUGACGGGCAAUACGGCGAAUUUCAGGAAUAUGCUUAUAGCGCUCUCGCAAUGAGUCAAGAUAUUUGAGGCGAUUCUCCUCACGAGUAGAGCGAAUUGACGCACGGGAAGAAGCACGAGCUCUCCAAAGACGAACAUUACUAUCAUCGGAACCAGAGAAUAUGUAUUGUGCAUCCAUUGAAAAUUUAACUGCAGUAACUCGCUGCAUACGUUUUGUAUGAUAAACAUCACGACUAUGACCCUCCCGAACAUUGUAAAUUCGAAUCGUUUUGUCAUAAGAACCACUAACAAACUCUUGACCUGUCGGUGAAAAAUCUACUGACAUAACGGCAGAAACGUGAUCCUUAUAAACGUGUAAUGCCCGCUUUAAAUUUCGCAUAUCGUACAUAUACAAAUUGUGAUCCUCACUGCCAGCUACAAAAUUAAAUGCCUCCAUUGGAUUCCAAGAAAUUGAAUUAGUUCUCAAUUUGGUAAUCAAUUUGGUUAACGGUGAUGAUGUACGGAGAUCGUAAAUUACGAUUGAUCGAUCCAUACCAGCUGAAGCCAAAACCGAUGUUUCCGUAUA
Schizosaccharomyces pombe (fission yeast) is the source of this 580-nucleotide non-coding RNA. NCBI's taxonomy places the organism in Eukaryota, Fungi, Ascomycota, Schizosaccharomycetes, Schizosaccharomycetales, Schizosaccharomycetaceae. The record is from the annotation of a GenBank genome assembly.